This 125-nucleotide ribosomal RNA is filed under the name Pseudomonas syringae pv. actinidifoliorum. Its description in RNAcentral is "partial 16S ribosomal RNA". It matches the Rfam family "Bacterial small subunit ribosomal RNA", at positions 1 to 120 of the family's 1533-position model. Lineage: Bacteria; Pseudomonadati; Pseudomonadota; Gammaproteobacteria; Pseudomonadales; Pseudomonadaceae. The record is from RNAcentral.
UUGAACUGAAGAGUUUGAUCAUGGCUCAGAUUGAACGCUGGCGGCAGGCCUAACACAUGCAAGUCGAGCGGCAGCACGGGUACUUGUACCUGGUGGCGAGCGGCGGACGGGUGAGUAAUGCCUAG